UCCUGCCCUAUGAUUAGUUAAAUGGCUGCAGUAUACUGACUGUGCAAAGGUAGCAUAAUAAUUAGUCUUUUAAUUGGGGACUAGUAUGAAUGGAUUAAUGAGAGAUUUAUUUUAUUUUUUAUAAUUUUAGAAUUUUAUUUUUAAGUAAAAAAGCUUAAUUUUUUUUUUGGGACGAUAAGACCCUAUAGAACUUUAUUUCUUUCUAUUAUUUAAUUUAAUGUUGAUUAUUAUAUAAAUUAUUAAAUAUGAUGAUAUUUUGUUGGGGUGACAAAUAAAUUUUACUUUAUUUUUUAAAUUCAUUUUUUUAAUGUAUUGUUGAUCCAAAUUUUUGAUUUUAAGAUUAAGUUACCUUAGGGAUAACAGCGUAAUUUUAAUGGGGAGUUCUAAUUUAUAUUGAAGUUUGCGACCUCGAUGUUGAAUUAAGAUAAGAUUGAGGGGUAG
RNAcentral lists this ribosomal RNA (441 nucleotides) under Begonalia hydra. Its description in RNAcentral is "partial large subunit ribosomal RNA". The record is from RNAcentral. Lineage: Eukaryota; Metazoa; Arthropoda; Insecta; Hemiptera; Cicadellidae.